This is a small nuclear RNA of Rhinolophus ferrumequinum (greater horseshoe bat), 103 nucleotides long. The record is from Ensembl. Lineage: Eukaryota; Metazoa; Chordata; Mammalia; Chiroptera; Rhinolophidae.
GUGCUUGCUUCAGCAGCACAUAUUCUAAAAUUGGGAUGAUACAGAAAAGAUUAGCAUGGUCUUUGCACAAGUGUACACACCAUACAAAGAAUAGCAACUAUGU